Molecule: ribosomal RNA, 433 nt
Filed under: uncultured bacterium
Lineage: Bacteria
Description: partial 16S ribosomal RNA
Rfam family: Bacterial small subunit ribosomal RNA
Source: RNAcentral
AACGAACGCUGGCGGCAUGCCUAACACAUGCAAGUCGAACGAGACCUUCGGGUCUAGUGGCGCACGGGGGCGUAACGCGUGGGAACCUGCCCUUAGGUUCGGAAUAACUCCCCGAAAGGGGUGCUAAUACCGGAUAAUGUCUUCGGACCAAAGAUUUAUCGCCUUUGGAUGGGCCCGCGUUGGAUUAGCUAGUUGGUAGGGUAAAAGCCUACCAAGGCGACGAUCCAUAGCUGGGCUGAGAGGAUGGUCAGCCACACUGGGACUGAGCCACGGCCCAGACUCCUACGGGAGGCAGCAGUGGGGAAUAUUGGCCAAUGGGCGAAAGCCUGAUCCCGCACUGCCGCGUGAGUGCUGAAGGCCUUAGGGUUGUAAAGCUCUUUUACCCGGGAUGAUACUGACAGUACCGGGAGAAUAAGCUCCGGCUAACUCCGUG